ACUGGCAUUUAGUUACCUGGGAGCCAGGAAUCUCAAACAUCUACAGUGUGCAGGACACUGUCAUCCAUAAAGAACUGUCCCAUCUUAAAUGCCAAUUACCACUGAGAAAUACAAAGUUGUUCAACCACUUCACUGCGGGGCUCAGAGAGAUGAAGACAAUUAACCAAGUCACUUUGGAGGCCAUGUGUCCCAGAUGGCAUAGAACUACAAAGAACUACAUAGAACUACAAAACAGAGAAGGCUGUAUACUCUGUAUUGGACUUGAUGAUGGAUCAAGCCCUUUACCAACUCAGAGGAGUUAAUGCCCAUGAGGAAAGCAGCUUUGUCAGCAUCUGGUCAUCAGAAAUAGAAGAAAAGGAAGGAGAGAGGAAAACACUGUUAAGACUCAUUCCGUUAUGGCCAAACUAACUACCCAGAGGACAGAAAGAUAGUGUGUUUAGAUCAAUGUAGCAAGGUAGAUUGUAGUUUUCAAAUAAAUGCCUGAAUCCUAAAAGUUU
Molecule: long non-coding RNA, 497 nt
Organism: Pongo pygmaeus (Bornean orangutan)
Lineage: Eukaryota; Metazoa; Chordata; Mammalia; Primates; Hominidae
Exons: 3
Source: RefSeq, a predicted model, not a curated record